UGGCUCAGUUGGUAGAGUAUGGUGUUUGCAACGCCAGGGUUGUGGGUUCGAUUCCCAC
This is a non-coding RNA of Salmo salar (Atlantic salmon), 58 nucleotides long. Lineage: Eukaryota; Metazoa; Chordata; Actinopteri; Salmoniformes; Salmonidae. The record is from Rfam.